Molecule: ribosomal RNA, 254 nt
Filed under: uncultured bacterium
Lineage: Bacteria
Description: partial 16S ribosomal RNA
Rfam family: Bacterial small subunit ribosomal RNA
Source: RNAcentral
UACGUAGGGGGCGAGCGUUGUCCGGAUUCAUUGGGCGUAAAGAGCUCGUAGGCGGCUUACUAAGUCAGGUGUGAAACCUCCAGGCUCAACCUGGAGCCGCCAUCUGAUACUGGUAUGGCUUGAGUCCGGUAGGGGACCACGGAAUUCCUGGUGUAGCGGUGAAAUGCGCAGAUAUCAGGAGGAACACCGGUGGCGAAGGCGGGUCUCUGGGCCACUACUGACGCUGAGGAGCGAAAGCGUGGGGAGCAAACAGG